RNAcentral lists this long non-coding RNA (1266 nucleotides) under Ananas comosus (pineapple). Its description in RNAcentral is "long non-coding RNA (ACOM_LNC029773)". The record is from RNAcentral. Lineage: Eukaryota; Viridiplantae; Streptophyta; Magnoliopsida; Poales; Bromeliaceae.
UAGGUAAUAAUAAUGUAAAAAUUGAGUCAACCCUUUAUUUUUAUUUUUAUUUUUAUUUUUUUGAGAGAUAGGCAGCACACUACCCGCUUCGUUUAUUUUAUUUAAAAAUAAAUUUAGCUGAAAAUGUGAAUCAACUAGAAUUCGAACUUAGGAUCUCGGGUACUAACCACAAAGCUCUUUACCACUUGCUCUAGAGACAGUCGGUGACCCUUUAAAAAGUAAAAAAAAAAAAAAAUCAUUUGAACAGUUCAAACUAACGAUUCUACUGUUGAAUCAAUAAACCAGUUUGAUUUUAAUCAAACCAACCAACCGAAUUUUAUUGAUCAAGUUAUAUUAAAAUGUAAUGACUUAAAUAAUCUUCGGUAAAUUUAUUUUCUAUAAGCACAUAUUAAUUUUAUAAAAGGUAAAUCUUAAAAAUUUAUAUCUACUAAAUUUGGUUUAGACACUACAACAGAAUUAAGUUAUAGGGACACACUCUUGGAACAAUUUUAUAUAAGUGUCCUAUUUAUGCCAAAACUUUUUUAAAAAACUUAUUAAGGCCUAAAUAUUAAGCCCAAUCCAAUCAAAAAUAAAAAGUUCCUCUACUGAACUAACCAUACCCAACCCACUUAGCCCGAUUACAAAUAAAAAAGGAAGAAACAAAAAAGAAAAAUUGAUCACUAUCUCCCCUUUUCUUCCUCCGCCGCCACAGCCGACGAGAUAGAGUUUCGGCGGCUAGAGUUCGACUGCAAGGUUCUCGUAAGGACUAUAGAGGGCUACGAUUGCCACGUAUCCCUCGUCACAGGUCGCUGGAAGAGUGGGUGCCAAAUAUCAAGGCGGCCCUACUUAUAGCGACCCUACAUAUAGCAACACUUUUAAAAAGUGUCGUUAAUUUAGCCAGCAUCACUUUUUUUUACCUAUAUCGACAUUUAAAAGUAUCGCUAUAAACUAUUUUUAUUGCAGUGAGAAAUCAGUAUUAUAUAAUUAUGUUUGAUAUUAGAAUAUAAUAUAUAUAUAUUUCUAUGUAAUAAAAUUAAAAAUAAAAAUUAAAUAUUUAUGACAUUACGUUGACUCACUAGUUCAAUCAUUGAUUGACCAACAGUAAUCUUUCAUCCCAUAAUAUUUUCGGAUCACUGUUCGAUCCGAUUUUUAAAACAUUAAUAUUACUCGUAAGUGACCGGCCGUCUCUAGUGCAAGUAGCAAAAGUUUGAUGGUUGGUACUCGAAAUCCUAAAUUCGAAGCAUAAUUAUUUCAUAUUUCUAGCUAAGUUCUUUAAAAAUACAAAAU